RNAcentral lists this long non-coding RNA (3816 nucleotides) under Equus caballus (horse). Its description in RNAcentral is "lncRNA (ENSECAG00000052877.1)". Lineage: Eukaryota; Metazoa; Chordata; Mammalia; Perissodactyla; Equidae. The record is from RNAcentral.
UUUUCAUGAUCAUAAUACGCUGAGCAUCACACAGAAUCAGGCCAUCCCAGCACCAGCACACAUCUCAACAUGGUGCUCAAACGCCCACAGGUGUGUGGUCAUCCCAGGGCAGCCUCAGCCCUUCCCCGACUCGGCCAGAGAAAGCUCUGCCCACCUGCUCCCGGGCCACAGGAAGUGACAUCACAGUCACUGCUGGAGCCGCGGAACACGCUGGGCGCAUGCAGACGCUGCUCUUUGUCACAGAUACAGCCAACCAUCCCAGGGGGGGACAUCUCUACCUCUGCCGUCCCAGCACCCUCUUCAACCUCCUCCACGCGAGACCCCGAGUUCCACCCCCACAAACAGGCCUCAUUAGACCCCAUCUUGUGAACAGGACACGCACAUACGUGUUGAACGGACGAAUUCCACAUCAGUUAGCUGCCUGUUCGCUGAACGUCUUUCCUGGACUCCAGGAUUGAAGGAAUUAGGACAAUGAAGAGCCACAAAGCAGGAGGAAACCAUCAUGCAGGCUCCACUCAAAGAGAACAAGGCUCAAAGAGAACACCAACUUCCUUGCAUAGGCUUCCUCUAGAAACAAAACUAUUGUGGGACAAUGAGGGAAGUGCUCCCCAUGCGGAGAACCUUUCUAUAGGUCUCCCUGGAGAUGUUCUGGGGCCUGGUACCCAGCGAGGCCGCCUGCAGCCACGUGGCCACUGGCCCUCUCCAUCUUUCACAAGGCAGGAGGGAUGGGAAGUGCUGGCAGGUGUUGGCAUCCUGCAGAUGCUGGUUAUCUUCCAGACCAGCUUCUCAGGUAUUCUCUCUUUCCAUCCUGACAAUGACCCUGUGAAGUGGGAACGGUUACGCUGGUUUACAAAUGAGGACACGAAACCUCGCAAAGCUCCUUUUUCUUCCCUGAGGUCACCUGGCUAGUGAGGGUCGCAGAUGGGGAUUCAACCCAAAGACCAGGUCACAGAAAAGUGCAUCCUUCUUCCUUCUGGACCGACUUGCACGAAAGUUACUUCACCCAGUUGUUGACCUGGCCGAGGAGGGACAGGCGCUGUCAGACCCCAGGAGGAAUGUUAGGUGCCCUCUGGUGCCCAUAUCCCUGUGAAGACCCGGCCAGUUUCCAGGCUGGGGAGUGGACAGGGGGACACAGUGCUCUGUGGGUCAAGGGCACCGUGUGGAGAGAGGAACACGAGAGGGGGAUUGGGGCAACCGUGUUCCUCCCACAAAUGGGCAACUGAGUCACAUCAUAGGAACUCUGUUCCCUGCCAAACAGGUCUCUCUCUCUCUCUCUCUUUUUUCUGUUUCUGUGUAUUUUAAAUGCAUUUAAAUGAAGCGAUUAUUUAACGAUUUUUGUGGGUUUCCUGGUAUUUGUUUUGGGAUUUGUUUUUGUUUUGUUUUGUUUUUUAUUUUGUUUUUUGGUUGACAGUGUUGAAUCAUCGAAAUAUCGUAAAGCAUUUUUCUGGCUCACUAAUUGAUACAGUCCUGCCUAAUUGCCUGCUGCUUCGUUUCUUCUCUGUGAAAAUGACACAGGUUUUCUGGGUUUUUGCUUCCAAAAAACAAACGGUGCUGCUUCACUACCCCGCCCCCAAUCUGUGCCUCCCUUGGGAUGGCGGCACACACCACAGAUUCCGCAGAUCACUGGUCCUGGCAGGGGUGGGAGGAGCUGGGCAGGAUGGGGAAGGGAGGAGCCACAGGGGUGCCAAGAGAGACCCCACAUUCCCGAGGCCCCCUCCCUAGCACCCCUGCCUGCAAACACCUGACAAUCUACCAACAGCCUCAGCAGGUGUAUGCCCUGAGUUACCAAGGAUUUCUGAAGCUGGUGGAAGCUCGGAGGCCCUGUCUGUGGCCAUGGAGACCCCAUAGAGCCCCUGCCUGUAGCCCUAUUUCUCCAGCAAGAGACUGCAGCCUUAACCAGCUGGCCUCGCCCAUCCACAGAACUGUGCUCCACGGGCACCUGCAGCAGCUCACUUUGGAUCACAGGACUGACCUUGUCUUCCAGCCGCACACAGGGAGCGGGGAGCAGGCUGGUCUCAGCCUCUGUCUGCCUGGAGGGACCCCGAGCCCAUCCAGUCUGGCCCUGCCGCUUCCAGGGUUACCCAGGUCCCAGGAUGGGAAAUCAAAGCCCAGCCGUGCUUGACAACAUUAGGACCUCAAAGCAGAGAAAAACAAACAGAACCUCUCCAAAACCAGAGGCUGGUCCAGAGCCAACAUUAUGAUCCUGGUCUCCUGUAUUACAAAAGGGAAAUACUAAGGCCCUAAUGAGAGGAAAGUGGAGUCCGAGGUCCCAGUGUGAGUCAACAGCAGAGCAGAGACCAGACCCAGGAACCACACUGCUAGGCCGGUGCUAUGAAAAAUCCAGACUCAGGCAAAAGAAAGCUCAACAUCCUGAUGUCCCUCUGUAGACGGGAGACGCCUGUGGAAAGGGAGAGGGUCAGCUGACACACCCUCAACAUCCUGAUGUCGCUCUAUAGACAGGAGACGCCUGUGGAAAUGGAGAGGGUCAGCUGGUAGACCUGGUUUGUCAAGAGUACUUGUGAAAAGGGUCGGGGUCUUGGUUGACUGGAAGGGUCUGAGUCCACCCUGUGAUUUACCUGCUACAAAGUCACUCAACAAAUGUGGCAGCCAAGGGUUCACCCACUAGCUAAUGUGACACAUGUAUGUCACACGUGUGUGUCACACACACACACACACACUUGUACAUUUAGCUUAAUACACUUUUUUUUUAAAGACUUUAUUUUUUCCUUUUUCUCCCCAACACCCCCCAGUACAUAGUUGUAUAUUCUUCGUUGUGGGUCCUUCUAGUUGUGGCAUGUGGGAUGCUGCCCCAGCGUGGUUUGAUGAGCAGUGCCAUGUCCGCGCCCAGGAUUCCAACCAACGAAACACUGGUUCAGAUCCCAGGUGCAGACAUGGCACCGUUUGGCACGCCAUGCUGUGGUGGGUGUCCCACAUAUAAAGUAGAGGAAGAUGGGCACAGAUGUUAGCUCAGGGCCAGUCUUCCUCAGCAAAAAGAGGGGGAUUGGCAGCAGAUGUUAGCUCAGGGCUAAUCUUCCUCAGAAAAAAAAGAGAAUUAAUUAAAAACGAAAAAGAAUCUAAUGGAAGAAAAAAAGUCUUUGGGGGUUGCCUAACACUUCUAAAUCCAAGCCCCUUAUCUUGAAACCGCAGCCCUUGGUGAUCAGGCCUUCCUGGGGAGACAGAACCCAGUGACCAGGGCAGCAAGAAUGGAGACACAUGGGAAUCCCACUUCCUUUCACUUACCCGGGCGACAGAACAGAAUUUCUGGUGGAACCCUAUUCUGAGAAAUGGCUCAGGCUUGGGAACGGCCAUGGUUUUGAUGGGCAAAAUAUUCUCCAAGCCUUCCCAAAAGGAGCCUUGGCAUGCCUUGGGGACAUGUAGUCACAGAUGGAGGGAGCCUUGCUGCUCUGCUCCCUAAGCUUGAGACCUAGGGAGGCACAGCAGCCCAGGCAGGAGCCCCAACAUUGGCCUAAUAGGGGGCCCCCCGCCAACAAGAGCAUCGAGAUAUGGUUACUCGUGGUUGAGUCAGAUGUUAAUGGCCCACCUGGAUCAGACGCUGUUCCCCACCGCUGUAGCCACAGAUCAUUCUCAGAUGUCACCCUCAAUCCGUGGACUUGACCAAGCACAGGACAACGGCCCCAUGGGUCCUUGCCCGAGCUUUCUCCUCUCAGGUCAAGUUCCCAGACUUCAGUCCAAACUGACUCAAAGAUUGCCACAAUUUUAUAAGGGAGGGCUAGAAUGGAAUAGACGACUUCUGAGAACAUUUCCAGCUUUAAAAACUUCUCUGAAUUUCUCCAAAAGUCUGCACAGCUGGACUCG